UUUUCUGUGGCUUAGUCAGAAGAGCAUUCUACUAGGAAUGCAAAGGUCAUGGGUUUAAACCCCAGGAAAAG
Molecule: non-coding RNA, 71 nt
Organism: Danionella cerebrum
Lineage: Eukaryota; Metazoa; Chordata; Actinopteri; Cypriniformes; Danionidae
Source: the annotation of a GenBank genome assembly